UACGGAAGGUGCAAGCGUUGUUCGGAAUGACUGGGCGUAAAGAGCACGUAGGCGGUCUCGCAAGUCGGAUGUGAAAUCCCUGGGCUUAACCUGGGAACUGCAUCCGAAACUGCUUGACUUGAAUGCUUGAGAGGUUGGUGGAAUUCCAGGUGUAGGAGUGAAAUCCGUAGAUAUCUGGAGGAACAUCGGAGGCGAAGGCGGCCAACUGGCAAUGCAUUGACGCUGAGGUGCGAAAGCGCGGGGAGCAAACAGG
This 253-nucleotide ribosomal RNA is filed under the name uncultured bacterium. RNAcentral's name for it is "partial 16S ribosomal RNA". It matches the Rfam family "Bacterial small subunit ribosomal RNA", at positions 524 to 776 of the family's 1533-position model. The record is from RNAcentral.